This 1448-nucleotide ribosomal RNA is filed under the name uncultured organism. RNAcentral describes it as "SSU rRNA". It matches the Rfam family "Bacterial small subunit ribosomal RNA". The record is from RNAcentral.
GAACGCUAGCUACAGGCUUAACACAUGCAAGUCGAGGGGCAGCAUGGUCUUAGCUUGCUAAGGCCGAUGGCGACCGGCGCACGGGUGAGUAACACGUAUCCAACCUGCCGUCUACUCUUGGACAGCCUUCUGAAAGGAAGAUUAAUACAAGAUGGCAUCAUGAGUCCGCAUGUUCACAUGAUUAAAGGUAUUCCGGUAGACGAUGGGGAUGCGUUCCAUUAGAUAGUAGGCGGGGUAACGGCCCACCUAGUCUUCGAUGGAUAGGGGUUCUGAGAGGAAGGUCCCCCACAUUGGAACUGAGACACGGUCCAAACUCCUACGGGAGGCAGCAGUGAGGAAUAUUGGUCAAUGGGCGAGAGCCUGAACCAGCCAAGUAGCGUGAAGGAUGACUGCCCUAUGGGUUGUAAACUUCUUUUAUAAAGGAAUAAAGUCGGGUAUGGAUACCCGUUUGCAUGUACUUUAUGAAUAAGGAUCGGCUAACUCCGUGCCAGCAGCCGCGGUAAUACGGAGGAUCCGAGCGUUAUCCGGAUUUAUUGGGUUUAAAGGGAGCGUAGAUGGAUGUUUAAGUCAGUUGUGAAAGUUUGCGGCUCAACCGUAAAAUUGCAGUUGAUACUGGAUAUCUUGAGUGCAGUUGAGGCAGGCGGAAUUCGUGGUGUAGCGGUGAAAUGCUUAGAUAUCACGAAGAACUCCGAUUGCGAAGGCAGCCUGCUAAGCUGCAACUGACAUUGAGGCUCGAAAGUGUGGGUAUCAAACAGGAUUAGAUACCCUGGUAGUCCACACGGUAAACGAUGAAUACUCGCUGUUUGCGAUAUACAGCAAGCGGCCAAGCGAAAGCGUUAAGUAUUCCACCUGGGGAGUACGCCGGCAACGGUGAAACUCAAAAGAAUUGACGGGGGCCCGCACAAGCGGAGGAACAUGUGGUUUAAUUCGAUGAUACGCGAGGAACCUUACCCGGGCUUAAAUUGCAGAUGAAUUACGGUGAAAGCCGUAAGCCGCAAGGCAUCUGUGAAGGUGCUGCAUGGUUGUCGUCAGCUCGUGCCGUGAGGUGUCGGCUUAAGUGCCAUAACGAGCGCAACCCUUGUUGUCAGUUACUAACAGGUUCCGCUGAGGACUCUGACAAGACUGCCAUCGUAAGAUGUGAGGAAGGUGGGGAUGACGUCAAAUCAGCACGGCCCUUACGUCCGGGGCUACACACGUGUUACAAUGGGGGGUACAGAGGGCCGCUACCACGCGAGUGGAUGCCAAUCCCCAAAACCUCUCUCAGUUCGGACUGGAGUCUGCAACCCGACUCCACGAAGCUGGAUUCGCUAGUAAUCGCGCAUCAGCCACGGCGCGGUGAAUACGUUCCCGGGCCUUGUACACACCGCCCGUCAAGCCAUGGGAGCCGGGGGUACCUGAAGUGCGUAACCGCGAGGAGCGCCCUAGGGUAAAACUGGUGACUGGGGCUA